RNAcentral lists this transfer RNA (65 nucleotides) under Endeis sp. JZ-2022. RNAcentral describes it as "tRNA-Val". The record is from RNAcentral. Lineage: Eukaryota; Metazoa; Arthropoda; Pycnogonida; Pantopoda; Endeidae.
CUAGAUUUACUUAGAAUAAUUUUUUUCUUACAAUAAAAUAUUCCUUUAUUUUAUAGGGUUCUAAA